CAGUAGCCGCGGGAAUACGUAGGUGGCAAGCGUUGUCCGGAAUUAUUGGGCGUAAAGGGCUCGCAGGCGGUUUCUUAAGUCUGAUGUGAAAGCCCCCGGCUCAACCGGGGAGGGUCAUUGGAAACUGGGAAACCUGAGUGCAGAAGAGGAGAGAGGAAUUCCACGUGUAGCGGUGAAAUGCGUAGAGAUGUGGAGGAACACCAGUGGCGAAGGCGACUCUCUGGUCUGUAACUGACGCUGAGGAGCGAAAGCGUGGGGAGCGAACAGGAUUAGAUACCCGGGUAGUCCCUGUCUCUUAUAC
This 301-nucleotide ribosomal RNA is filed under the name uncultured bacterium. RNAcentral's name for it is "partial 16S ribosomal RNA". It matches the Rfam family "Bacterial small subunit ribosomal RNA", at positions 509 to 807 of the family's 1533-position model. The record is from RNAcentral.